RNAcentral lists this ribosomal RNA (608 nucleotides) under Bacillus sp. (in: firmicutes). RNAcentral's name for it is "bacterial SSU rRNA". It matches the Rfam family "Bacterial small subunit ribosomal RNA", at positions 163 to 757 of the family's 1533-position model. The record is from RNAcentral. Lineage: Bacteria; Bacillati; Bacillota; Bacilli; Caryophanales; Bacillaceae.
CUAAUACCGGAUACGUUCUUUUCUCGCAUGAGAGAAGAUGGAAAGACGGUUUACGCUGUCACUUAUAGAUGGGCCCGCGGCGCAUUAGCUAGUUGGUGAGGUAAUGGCUCACCAAGGCGACGAUGCGUAGCCGACCUGAGAGGGUGAUCGGCCACACUGGGACUGAGACACGGCCCAGACUCCUACGGGAGGCAGCAGUAGGGAAUCUUCCGCAAUGGACGAAAGUCUGACGGAGCAACGCCGCGUGAACGAAGAAGGCCUUCGGGUCGUAAAGUUCUGUUGUUAGGGAAGAACAAGUACCAGAGUAACUGCUGGUACCUUGACGGUACCUAACCAGAAAGCCACGGCUAACUACGUGCCAGCAGCCGCGGUAAUACGUAGGUGGCAAGCGUUGUCCGGAAUUAUUGGGCGUAAAGCGCGCGCAGGUGGUUCUUUAAGUCUGAUGUGAAAGCCCACGGCUCAACCGUGGAGGGUCAUUGGAAACUGGGGAACUUGAGUGCAGAAGAGGAAAGUGGAAUUCCAAGUGUAGCGGUGAAAUGCGUAGAGAUUUGGAGGAACACCAGUGGCGAAGGCGACUUUCUGGUCUGUAACUGACACUGAGGCGCGAA